Equus caballus (horse) is the source of this 2055-nucleotide long non-coding RNA. The record is from Ensembl. NCBI's taxonomy places the organism in Eukaryota, Metazoa, Chordata, Mammalia, Perissodactyla, Equidae.
CAAUACCACCCACAGUUCAUCUGGUCCUCACACAGGCCCUGCCCCACAGAGGCAGACACCCUUGGCUGCCAGUAGAGGAUCAAGGCACUCAGUCAAUGCAGGCUGAAAAGUAGACUGAGGGCUUGCUGUUAGGUGGGGCCAGUCCCUAGGGCGGGUUGCCUGCCCUGGCUGAACUGGAUUAAAUCUGUGCUCUAGUGGGUGUGGCAGACCCCUGGGCUAACAGCCCAAGGAAUGCACUUCAAUGGCUCCCACCGGUGUCCGCAUCAGCACGCCUGGACCAGCUCAGAACAAUGGCCCCCACCAACGUCUCAGACUCCGGAGAGGACCCUCCUCUCACCAAAUGCCCCCAGAGCCCACCAGAUAUCCCUGAGGGAAGAGACUGUGUAAUUCAUCUUUGCAUCUCCCAUAACAUCUAACACAAAGCACAGUACAUUGGAGCUGGAGACAUAGAAUAUAUUGAAUCUGAAAAUUGAAAUAAAAGAAAAUUUUAUAAAAAUUGAGGUGAUUAUUUUGGCUAUCCAGAGAACACAAGUGGUAUUUAUCCUGAACCAUAGCGGAGAAGUAGGAUGGAAUUCAGGAAAAUGGGAAGAGAGCCCUGGAUUGAGAAGAGGCUAGGGGCUGAGGCAGAGUUAAAAAGAACAGAGGACACUUCUACGCCAAACUCAAGAUUCUGAGGCACAGGAAGCUGAAACUCUCUACCUCUCACUAUCCACCUGAUGCAGUUUGUCACCUUUAUCAAUCCUGACAGCUCUAGUAAAGCAGUGAAACAGGAUGUUAACGUCAAGGUCUCCGCCAAGAUACCAUGAUACAAUAGAAGCUGCAUGCCCAAGUGAGGUGCCAGAGCAGCACACACAGUCUCCUCACCCAUGGACUCUUCACCCAGGGUUCCUGACACCACUUGAAGGUUCCAGAACAGUAUUGGGCCUGCCUGGGUCAAAGAUUUCAUCCAGGCACAAGGACAAAAUUUACCUUGCUGUUUAUUCAGCAGUGAGAGACACAAAUAAGAUUAUGUUUUUCUUAUAACCUACAAGUCAUUUUUGUCUUAAGAUUCCCUUUAUGUAGUCGGGUAGUUUGGGUUGAAUUUAAGAGGGUUGUCUUGAAAGCGUAUUGGACCACUCGCAAAGAUGACAAACAGGAGAUGAAGGAUGAGAUUGUGAUGUCACGGUCUCAGGCACAGGAAAGGGCUCCACGUCUUAGUGAAGUCAGGGAACCAGGUCACGCUGCCAUCCUCACACUGCAGGCUGUAGAGACCUGGGAAGGAAGCCCAUAGCUCUUGCCUCUUAGUCCACUGAGCUAAAGCUAAUCAGAAGUUUGAUUUUAAAAAAUGUUCUGGUAGCUAACACUUUUUAUAUUUGUGACCUGGUUUUUCUACUUAGAAUGGAAAUCUUACUGGUUUAAAAUGAACAUACCCUUCAACUCACAAGAUAAAUUAGCCUUAGAAAGAUAUGUUGCCUAAAAUGGAGAAAUGCUAAAAAUGUUUACAUUUUAUGCUUGUGUAAUCUAUUAGGUGCAUUGUACAGAAUGGUAAUUUUCUUUCUCUUCGCACAGAAAAACAAAACAUCUUGAAGACAAAGCAAUGAUAAACAGUUAUUUGACAAGACAAUAUUGAAAAAAAUAAAUAACUGUGUCAAUUAUUUCAGAUGUUUUCUGGACAAACUCAACUGUUGCUUUCAGUGGUUCCAAGUUACUACUUGAAAUAUUUAUAUAUUUAUCAGCUUGGAUUUAGAGUUAAAUCUAAGUUGAUAAAUUUCCUUUUAAGCUUCUAUUUUCAUACAGAUAUAUGAAAAAUGCAAAUGUUCAAACACAGAAGUGUUACUUAAGGAAAGUGGACUUUUCCUGUACAUUUAAGGUAUCAGCAAGAUGAUUAAAUAUAACUGAUCAGAUUUUCCCAUUUUCAGAGGAAAUAUGACUAUUCAAGUCCUUACUUUCUCUAUCAAUAUAAAAUACAAUAACUACUGCACAUGUUGUAACUUAUUUUGAAGACAAUAUACCAUUUUGAAGGGAAAGACUAUUUUGCUUAAGUUUCUUGGCUUGGCAGCAAUAUUGACCAUCCCC